CCCUGGCUCAGGACGAACGCAGGCGGCGUGCUUAACACAUGCAAGUCGAGCGGUAAGGCCCUUCGGGGUACACGAGCGGCGAACGGGUGAGUAACACGUGGGUGAUCUGCCCUGCACUUCGGGAUAAGCCUGGGAAACUGGGUCUAAUACCGGAUAUGACCAAAGGCUGCAUGGCUUUUGGUGGAAAGGUUUACUGGUGCAGGAUGGGCCCGCGGCCUAUCAGCUUGUUGGUGGGGUAAUGGCCUACCAAGGCGACGACGGGUAGCCGACCUGAGAGGGUGACCGGCCACACUGGGACUGAGACACGGCCCAGACUCCUACGGGAGGCAGCAGUGGGGAAUAUUGCACAAUGGGCGAAAGCCUGAUGCAGCGACGCCGCGUGAGGGAUGAAGGCCUUCGGGUUGUAAACCUCUUUCAGCAGGGACGAAGCGAAAGUGAACGGUACCUGCAGAAGAAGCACCGGCUAACUA
This 470-nucleotide ribosomal RNA is filed under the name Corynebacterineae bacterium CL5.9. RNAcentral's name for it is "bacterial SSU rRNA". It matches the Rfam family "Bacterial small subunit ribosomal RNA", at positions 17 to 503 of the family's 1533-position model. Lineage: Bacteria; Bacillati; Actinomycetota; Actinomycetes; Mycobacteriales; Corynebacteriaceae. The record is from RNAcentral.